GCCUGCCCAGUGAACAAUUAAACGGCCGCGGUACCCUAACCGUGCAAAGGUAGCAUAAUCAUUUGUCUACUAAUUAUAGACCUGUAUGAAAGGCAAAAUGAGGGUCCAACUGUCUCUUAUAAUAAAUCAAUUAAACUGAUCUCCUAGUAAAAAAGCUAGAAUAAUACCAUAAGACCAGAAGACCCUGUGAAGCUUAAAUCAAACUACUAAAUCACAUAGUAAUUACUUUCGGUUGGGGCGACCUUGGAAAAAAAUAGAACUUCCAAGACCCAGUACAACUGACAAUUGAACCAAGUUACUCCAGGGAUAACAGCGCAAUCUUCUUCAAGAGCCCAUAUCAAAAAGAAGGUUUACGACCUCGAUGUUGGAUCAGGACAUCCUAAUGGUGCAGCCGCUAUUAAGGGUUCGUUUGUUCAACGAUUAACAGUCCUACGUGAUCUGA
RNAcentral lists this ribosomal RNA (442 nucleotides) under Rhinocheilus lecontei (longnose snake). Its description in RNAcentral is "partial 16S ribosomal RNA". It matches the Rfam family "Bacterial large subunit ribosomal RNA", at positions 1857 to 2608 of the family's 2925-position model. Lineage: Eukaryota; Metazoa; Chordata; Lepidosauria; Squamata; Colubridae. The record is from RNAcentral.